GGAAGGCCAGGCAGCCCUCAGGAGAAGGAGUGACAACUGAGGAAAGCCGAUGGACUCUAGGACCGGGGUGGAGAAAGUCUGCGAGGAAAUUGUUGAGAAAUCACAUUGCCACUAGAAGACAACAGUGAACUUUUGGUUGUCGCUAGUACUACCAGAAGACUGAAGACUACUGAGGGGCUCAGAAACAAUGGUCAAUUUAGAGGCAACGGUCCAAAACAAAGCGACCACGUGACCAUGGACUGGAAUCCCUGAAAUCUUCGGCCAAAAUAAACUUUUCUCCCU
Molecule: long non-coding RNA, 282 nt
Organism: Mesocricetus auratus (golden hamster)
Lineage: Eukaryota; Metazoa; Chordata; Mammalia; Rodentia; Cricetidae
Exons: 3
Source: RefSeq, a predicted model, not a curated record